GUUGAACGCUGGCGGCAGGCCUAACACAUGCAAGUCGAGCGGAUGAAGGGAGCUUGCUCCUGGAUUCAGCGGCGGACGGGUGAGUAAUGCCUAGGAAUCUGCCUGGUAGUGGGGGAUAACGUCCGGAAACGGGCGCUAAUACCGCAUACGUCCUGAGGGAGAAAGUGGGGGAUCUACGGACCUCACGCUAUCAGAUGAGCCUAGGUCGGAUUAGCUAGUUGGUGGGGUAAAGGCCUACCAAGGCGACGAUCCGUAACUGGUCUGAGAGGAUGAUCAGUCACACUGGAACUGAGACACGGUCCAGACUCCUACGGGAGGCAGCAGUGGGGAAUAUUGGACAAUGGGCGAAAGCCUGAUCCAGCCAUGCCGCGUGUGUGAAGAAGGUCUUCGGAUUGUAAAGCACUUUAAGUUGGGAGGAAGGGCAGUAAGUUAAUACCUUGCUGUUUUGACGUUACCAACAGAAUAAGCACCGGCUAACUUCGUG
Molecule: ribosomal RNA, 484 nt
Filed under: uncultured bacterium
Lineage: Bacteria
Description: partial 16S ribosomal RNA
Rfam family: Bacterial small subunit ribosomal RNA
Source: RNAcentral